This 253-nucleotide ribosomal RNA is filed under the name uncultured bacterium. RNAcentral's name for it is "partial 16S ribosomal RNA". It matches the Rfam family "Bacterial small subunit ribosomal RNA", at positions 524 to 776 of the family's 1533-position model. The record is from RNAcentral.
GACGAACCGAGCGAACGUUGUUCGGAAUCACUGGGCUUAAAGGGCGCGUAGGCGGGCUGCCGCGUCCGGGGUGAAAUCCUCCGGCUCAACCGGAGAACGGCCCCGGGUACGGGCGGCCUCGAGGGGGGUAGGGGCGUGCGGAACUGUGGGUGGAGCGGUGAAAUGCGUAGAUAUCGCUUGGAACGCCAAAGGUGAAAACAGGUUGCUGGGGUUGUGCCGACGCUGAGACACGAAAGCCAGGGGAGCAAACGGG